This 790-nucleotide ribosomal RNA is filed under the name uncultured Nitrospira sp. RNAcentral's name for it is "bacterial SSU rRNA". It matches the Rfam family "Bacterial small subunit ribosomal RNA", at positions 74 to 859 of the family's 1533-position model. The record is from RNAcentral. Lineage: Bacteria; Pseudomonadati; Nitrospirota; Nitrospiria; Nitrospirales; Nitrospiraceae.
ACGUAGCAAUACGUUUGUAAAGCGGCGAACGGGUGAGGAAUACAUGGGUAACCUACCCUCGAGUGGGGAAUAACUAGCCGAAAGGUUAGCUAAUACCGCGUACGCUCCUUGGACUUCGGUUCAGGGAGGAAAGCGAUACCGUGGGUAUCGCGCUCUUGGAUGGGCUCAUGUCCUAUCAGCUUGUUGGUGAGGUAACGGCUCACCAAGGCUUCGACGGGUAGCUGGUCUGAGAGGACGAUCAGCCACACUGGCACUGCGACACGGGCCAGACUCCUACGGGAGGCAGCAGUAAGGAAUAUUGCGCAAUGGGCGAAAGCCUGACGCAGCGACGCCGCGUGGGGGAUGAAGGUCUUCGGAUUGUAAACCCCUUUCGGGAGGGAAGAUGGAAUGGGGUAACCCAUUCGGACGGUACCUCCAGAAGCAGCCACGGCUAACUUCGUGCCAGCAGCCGCGGUAAUACGAAGGUGGCAAGCGUUAUUCGGAUUUACUGGGCGUACAGGGAGCGUAGGCGGUUCGGUAAGCCCUUUGUGAAAUCUUCAGGCUUAACCUGGAAAAGUCGGAGGGGACUGCCGGGCUAGAGGACGGGAGAGGAGCGCGGAAUUCCCGGUGUAGCGGUGAAAUGCGUAGAGAUCGGGAGGAAGGCCGGUGGCGAAGGCGGCGCUCUGGAACGUUUCUGACGCUGAGGCUCGAAAGCGUGGGGAGCAAACAGGAUUAGAUACCCUGGUAGUCCACGCCUUAAACUAUGAAUACUAAGUGUCGGCGGGUUACCGCCGGUGCCGCAGCUAACGCA